GGUCAGGCAUGGCCUUUAUAUCCUGGGCUACACACACGCUACAAUGGGAAGGGACAAUAGGUUGCGAAGCCGCGAGGCGGAGCCAAGUCCAGCAAAACUUCCCUCAGUUCAGAUUGCAGGCUGCAACUCGCCUGCAUGAAGUUGGAGUUGCUAGUAAACGCAGGUCAGCCAUACUGCGUUGAAUACGUUCCCGGGGCUU
RNAcentral lists this ribosomal RNA (199 nucleotides) under uncultured Anaerolineaceae bacterium. Its description in RNAcentral is "partial 16S ribosomal RNA". It matches the Rfam family "Bacterial small subunit ribosomal RNA", at positions 1183 to 1382 of the family's 1533-position model. The record is from RNAcentral. Lineage: Bacteria; Bacillati; Chloroflexota; Anaerolineae; Anaerolineales; Anaerolineaceae.